RNAcentral lists this ribosomal RNA (253 nucleotides) under uncultured bacterium. RNAcentral describes it as "partial 16S ribosomal RNA". It matches the Rfam family "Bacterial small subunit ribosomal RNA", at positions 524 to 776 of the family's 1533-position model. The record is from RNAcentral.
UACGGGGGGGGUAAGCGUUGUUCGGAAUUACUGGGCGUAAAGGGCUCGUAGGCGGCCAAUUAAGUCAGACGUGAAAUCCCUCAGCUUAACUGGGGAACUGCGUCUGAUACUGGAUGGCUUGGAUCCGGGAGAGGGAUGCGGAAUUCCAGGUGUAGCGGUGAAAUGCGUAGAUAUCUGGAGGAACACCGGUGGCGAAGGCGGCAUCCUGGACCGGUAUUGACGCUGAGGAGCGAAAGCAUGGGGAGCGAACGGG